This 110-nucleotide ribosomal RNA is filed under the name Periophthalmus magnuspinnatus. The record is from RNAcentral. Lineage: Eukaryota; Metazoa; Chordata; Actinopteri; Gobiiformes; Gobiidae.
UCACUUGGCCUCCUGAUCAAAGCCUGAUCUCAUCUGAUCUCUGAAGAUGAGCAGGGGCCUGGUCAGUACUUGGAUGGAAAACCACUGGAAAUACCAGGUGCCACAGUGGA